UACGUAGGGUGCAAGCGUUGUCCGGAAUUAUUGGGCGUAAAGAGCGUGUAGGCGGCCAGGUAGGUCUGGUGUGAAAACUCGAGGCUUAACCUCGAGAUGUCAUCGGAAACCAUCUGGCUAGAGUCCGGAAGAGGAGAGUGGAAUUCCUGGUGUAGCGGUGAAAUGCGCAGAUAUCAGGAAGAACACCAAUGGCGAAAGCAGCUCUCUGGGACGGUACUGACGCUGAGACGCGAAAGCGUGGGGAGCGAACAGG
RNAcentral lists this ribosomal RNA (253 nucleotides) under uncultured bacterium. Its description in RNAcentral is "partial 16S ribosomal RNA". It matches the Rfam family "Bacterial small subunit ribosomal RNA", at positions 524 to 776 of the family's 1533-position model. The record is from RNAcentral.